UUUUUUCAAAGUAGUUAAUUUGUUUACUUAAAGCUUAUGUCAUGGAAUUUCUUUUUUCAAUUUGUUUUGAAAAUAUUAAUUUCUUUUUUUUUUUUUCUAAAGGUUGAAAUUUGAAUAGUAAUUUCUUAAAUCUAUUACGAAAUUAAGUAAUAUUGAAUUUUUAUAAAAAUUUAUUUCUUUGCACCUCAUAUCACUCAGUCGAGUGUCUUGCGCCAUGCACCUAGGCUCCAAAACCCCUUAGAGCUUUAGUGCACCUUGCGCUUUUAAUAAUUAUGCCACCCAAGCAAUCAAUACUUUCUAUAUGUUAAAUUCUCAUUUUUCUACAAUACCAAUCAUGGAAAAUUAGUUUCUACACUCUACUUCCCCACCAACUUUUCCAUCUUUCUUUUUUGUUCCACUAUGCACAUUGUCAGAUCAGAACUCAAUCAUUUGACAACAAACACAGUCACAUGAAUCAAUUGCUUGCAGAGAAAAACUCAGUUCAUGCAUUGACCAAUGAAAAUUAAAUAUUAAUCAACCAUAUGGCAUGGGUUAAUUAAAUCAUCAUUCACAUUUUGAUGUUGUCAAGCUGUUAACUGCCUGUGUUACUUAUUCUAUCAUACUCUCCAAGUCCACAGACAAAGUUCUAGUUAUCUAUUCCCAAAAGUUGGCAGACUAACUGAGAUUAGUCAUUUCCAAAAGAUCAUUUCCAGCAAUUGCAGUCUGAAGAAAUGAUAAUAUAUCCUUUCUGUUCAGCUAAUCUUAUAAAGGUAUUAUUGCAUUUUCAGAGGGAAGAAAGAUCCUAUAGAUAUGAUCAAUUUAUGAUCCUAUAAUAUCUAUCCAUAUUUGAUCUAUUUGCUAGAAUUCAAGCAUCAAUGUUGGUGAGGAGAAAAAAAUCAAACCAAAGGGACCACUCAAAUACUAAUAUUAUGGACAUAAAUAAUAUCCGCAAGGAAUUGUUUUCAAAUAAUAAAACAAAUCAAAUUUACCACUCUAGCUCGAACAAUAUCCCUCAAUCCAGCUACUGAUACAUCAUAAACUGAGAACCGAAUUGAGGAUGCAAUUAAAUGAACAAUCAAUUAAACCAAAUAAAAAAACAAAAGCAAUCACAAUCCUCCACUCACAUUAUCUAAUUUUCUCUUUCCCUGAGCUUCUCCUUGCUGCUUCCUUAACCUUCUCAAUGUAUCCUUCAAUUGGGGGAGUCAGGGUCGCCAUGAACCUGUUCACUGGAAAAGGCGUCAAAUCUGGAACCAAAGCAGCCUGCUUCAACUUCUCUGGCAAUGCCUCAAUGGCCUCCUUCUUCAACCUCAACAGGGUCGACUCUGCUGCUUGUCUGGCCCUGUGCUUCCUCAUCAAAACUCUGCUAUACUCCUUGGCCAAUCUCUUCCCAUCCUCCUCAGUCAGCUCAUACUUGGGUAUCUUAUCCACAUCCACCAAUCCAAGAGCUAUAAGGUCCAAUCCAGGAGUUCCCAUGAUCAUCGGCUCAUCAGGAACUCCCAUGGAUUGCCUGCCUCCUUUCUUGAGAAUUUCUUUCUCGCGCUUCCUCUCCUGGCUUUCAAGCCCCAACUUCUCGCGCUCGGCUUCACGCGCUCGUUCUUUGGGUUUGAGGAAACGAACUGGGGUAGGGGCAUUGAUGCAUUCCUCGUACAAACGGUACUUCUCGGCGUCUUGACGCGAGAAUGAAGGUGACUUAGAAGGAUCUUGAUCUUUGGAGCCUUUCUUAGCGGAUAUUUUGUUGCGUUUCUUGGGUUGACCAUCUUUCAUUUUGGCCUUGCCUUUGGCUGUUCCGCUCACAGAACAUCGUUGGACGAAUUGGUGGGCUAGUGGCGACAGAGGUCUAGCUCUUGUGAUUCGAAACAUUCUUCUUCUUCUUCUUCUGUUUUCUCUAUCAAAUUCAAUUGUUUAGGGGUUUUUAUUAUCGUCUGAUCAAAGGGAUGGUAAUUGGGUGUAUUUGUGUUUCUGUUUGGCUGUAUUUGUGUUUCUGUUUGGCGAGGAAGAAAUUGAGGGAUUUGCAGAGUGUGGACUUCCAGUAGUUACAGUGACAG
Molecule: unclassified non-coding RNA, 2024 nt
Filed under: Hevea brasiliensis (rubber tree)
Lineage: Eukaryota; Viridiplantae; Streptophyta; Magnoliopsida; Malpighiales; Euphorbiaceae
Source: RNAcentral